Molecule: ribosomal RNA, 747 nt
Filed under: Triticum aestivum (bread wheat)
Lineage: Eukaryota; Viridiplantae; Streptophyta; Magnoliopsida; Poales; Poaceae
Description: partial small subunit ribosomal RNA
Source: RNAcentral
AUGGCGGAGGAAUCGUGGAGCAACUCCCCUCCGUCUGCCAAGAGAAUGGCAGAGGCAUCAUGGAGCAACUCCCCUCCGUCUACCAUACAUCACCGUGGUGAGGCGUCUAGCAAGGAGCCGCUGGUAGUCGACGACGACGUUCCGGUCCCCGGACAGAAGUGGGACUACACCAUGCCGCUCAAGGUUGAUAUCCACCUGAAGGAGCCGCUGGAUGUCGUAUGCACCAGCAAUCCAGAUGAAGCCGACAAGAUGAUCCGCAAGAUGAGGAGGAGGCUCGGCGGCAUGCUUCGUCGGAAUAUCGGCGAGUAUACCAGGGAAGACAAACCUCCGCAAAUUGCUGCAGUUCUGCAGUUAUGCGUGGAGGAUCUCGUCCUGGUAUACCACAUCACCGCGGCAACCAAAUGGCCCAAGGAACUCCGCCCGCUCCUGCAGGAGAAGAAGCUGUACACCUUUGUUGGCUUCUGCAUUGGAGGCGACAAGGAGAAGCUGAAGUUGUCUGGUUUAGAGAUCAACCCCGACAACCUCAUCCACCCAUCGUACAAGGAAAUGAAGCAGAAGAUCGAUAGGAAAUCGGACCACCUACUAUGGGGGGACAGCCCACUGCCAAACAACCUCAUCGAGUACGCCGCGAAAGAUGCGUACGUCACCUACGAGGCAUGGAAGAAAAUCGAAAUCACCAAAGAAGGUUUGGAGCUUUGGCAAGAGCCGGAGGAUCAUUGGGAUGACCCCUACUACUGGGGAUAUUGA